This 253-nucleotide ribosomal RNA is filed under the name uncultured bacterium. Its description in RNAcentral is "partial 16S ribosomal RNA". It matches the Rfam family "Bacterial small subunit ribosomal RNA", at positions 524 to 776 of the family's 1533-position model. The record is from RNAcentral.
UACGAAGGGGACUAGCGUUGUUCGGAAUCACUGGGCGUAAAGGGCUCGUAGGCGGCCAACUAAGUCAUACGUGAAAUCCCUCGGCUUAACCGGGGAACUGCGUCUGAUACUGGAUGGCUUGAGUUCGGGAGAGGGAUGCGGAAUUCCAGGUGUAGCGGUGAAAUGCGUAGAUAUCUGGAGGAACACCGGUGGCGAAGGCGGCAUCCUGGACCGAUACUGACGCUGAGGAGCGAAAGCCAGGGGAGCAAACGGG